CUGCAGCCAAUUAAGCCUAUCCUGCUCCUUUCCUCAUGGGGGCCCGGUGUGCAAUGGCUGCAAACCACAGCGUCCUUGGUGGUGUAUGCAGCCUGCUGCUUGUAUGGGUUGCUCUAAGGGACCUUGGAGACAGUC
Molecule: small nucleolar RNA, 135 nt
Filed under: Propithecus coquereli (Coquerel's sifaka)
Lineage: Eukaryota; Metazoa; Chordata; Mammalia; Primates; Indriidae
Description: Small nucleolar RNA SNORA70 (ENSPCOG00000007630.1)
Rfam family: Small nucleolar RNA SNORA70
About the family: snoRNA U70 seems to be exclusive to mammals and is a member of the H/ACA class of snoRNA which contain H (ANANNA) and ACA box motifs.
Source: Rfam by way of RNAcentral